Small nuclear RNA from Hyla sarda, 103 nucleotides. NCBI's taxonomy places the organism in Eukaryota, Metazoa, Chordata, Amphibia, Anura, Hylidae. The record is from RefSeq and is a predicted model, not a curated record.
CACGUAACGUAGGAGGUUGAUGAGGCGCGGAACGAUACAGAGAAGAGUAGCAUGGCCCCUACACAAGGAUGGCACCCAAAUUCGUCAAGCAUUCCAUAUUUUA